Molecule: ribosomal RNA, 1271 nt
Filed under: Paramarygmus sp. PAR01
Lineage: Eukaryota; Metazoa; Arthropoda; Insecta; Coleoptera; Tenebrionidae
Description: 16S ribosomal RNA
Rfam family: Archaeal large subunit ribosomal RNA (bases 1036-1194)
Source: RNAcentral
UUUAAUUUUUUAUUUAAUUUUUUUUUGGAAUUAUUUAUAAGAAAUAUAUUUGUUUUUAUUAAUUUUGUUUGAAUAAAUUUUUUUAAUUAUAGUUGAUUUGUACUGUGAAGGAUUAUUUUUUAAUUUGGAAAAGAAGAUUUAUUUUAUUGUACCUUGUGUAUCAGGGCUGAUUAAUUUAUAAUUAGGGAAGAGAUUAGUGAUCCCGAAUUUAAAAGAGCUAUAAUUUUAUAUAUUUUACUGUUGAAUAAGUAUUUAUAAUUUUUUUAUAGAAAUGAAACGUUAUUCGUUUUUAAAUAUAUCUGGUUUUUCAAGAAAUGAAUUUAAUUUAUUGGGUGGUUGAUGUUUAUAUAAUUUUUUAUUUGGGCAUUAAAAACUUAUAAACAUUCAAUGGGAUGAGCUUUUGAAUGGAUUUUUAAAAUUUAUUGAGUAAUAUUUUUUUAUAGGAUUAGAAUUUUUCAUUAAUUGUAGUAUGUUAUAAUAAGUUGAUUGGAAAUAUUAUUUUAUUUGGUUUAAGUUUUUUAUUGGAAUUUUGUUAUUAAUUUUUAAUGUUAAUUAAUAAUGAUUAGAUUAGUAUAUUAUUUUGUGAUUAUUUUUAAUUGUUAAGUUAAAUCGAAGGAACUCGGCAAAUAUAAUUUUCACCUGUUUAUUAAAAACAUGUCUUUUUGAUAAUGAUAUAAGGUCUGACCUGCCCAAUGAUUAUUUAAAUGGCCGCAGUAUUUUGACUGUGCAAAGGUAGCAUAAUCAUUAGUUUCUUUAUUGGGAGCUGGAAUGAAAGGUUGGAUGAGAAAUUAACUGUCUCUGGUUUAAGAAUGGAACUUUAUUUUUUAGUGAAAAAGCUUGGAUUUUUUAGGAAGACGAGAAGACCCUAUAGAGUUUAAUAUAUUAGUUAGUGUUUUCUAUUAGGAUUAGUAUUGUUUUGAUUAAUAUAUUUUAUUGGGGUGAUAGAAAAAUUAGAUUAACUUUUAUUAUUGUAAAAACAUAAUUAAGUGGAAAUUUGAUCCUUUAUUUGGGAUUAUAAGAUUAAGUUACCUUAGGGAUAACAGCGUAAUUUUUUUGGAAAGUUCUUAUUGAUAAAAAAGUUUGCGACCUCGAUGUUGGAUUAAAAUUUAUUUUUGGUGUAGCAGCUGAAAGAUUAGGUCUGUUCGACCUUUAAAAUUUUACAUGAUCUGAGUUUAAACCGGCGUGAGCCAGGUUGGUUUCUAUCUUCUAUAUUUUUGAAUGUUUUAGUACGAAAGGACCAUACAUUUGGAAAAUUUUCUUGAUUUGAAUUU